UUGACCCCCUGAAAAUUUAAAUUUGCACCCUAGACCCCAACUCCUCUCUCUCACACACUCAUCACGUCAGACAAACUCUCUCUCUCACACACUCUGAUUUCUCUCACACGGACAAGCACUCUGCACUCUGUCUCUCACCUAGGUUUGGGUCACCACCACGUCGGCCGCCGCACCACCACUAUCCACCACCAGACCAGUCCAGCCGCACCACACCACAGAUUUUGUUUCAUUAUCUUGCUGCAUUGUGGGAGCGGAUUGGAGGUGGUCUCACAGGUGUCAGAGUAUGGUGUUGGUAUCCUUAAAAGUUUUGUUGGGAUUCAUAGAAGUAGUGGUGUCCGUAGUGGUGGGUUCAUUAGCAGAUUGAUUAGUUUUCCUCUUGGAAGUGUGGCUUCUAAGAGGGUUGUUUAUGUGUAACUUGAAAUUGUAAUCUUUUUUCUUUUUCCCUUGUGCACUUUCUAUCAAGCAAAAACAGAGGACUCUGCUUGAAAACUUCAUUAUAUUGAUUAUUGUUCUAUAUAUUUUGUAUUGGGCAUCCAGUUGAAUAAACUAGUUAUGGUUGAGUUUA
This is a long non-coding RNA of Lotus japonicus, 565 nucleotides long. RefSeq lists it as uncharacterized. The transcript has 2 exons. The record is from RefSeq and is a predicted model, not a curated record. NCBI's taxonomy places the organism in Eukaryota, Viridiplantae, Streptophyta, Magnoliopsida, Fabales, Fabaceae.